RNAcentral lists this ribosomal RNA (504 nucleotides) under uncultured fungus. Its description in RNAcentral is "SSU rRNA". It matches the Rfam family "Eukaryotic small subunit ribosomal RNA", at positions 248 to 755 of the family's 1831-position model. Lineage: Eukaryota; Fungi. The record is from RNAcentral.
GAUUCAUAAUAACUUCUCGAAUCGCAUGGCCUUGUGCCGGUGAUGCUUCAUUCAAAUAUCUGCCCUAUCAAUUUUCGAUGGUAAGAUAGAGGCCUACCAUGGUUUCAACGGGUAACGGGGAAUAAGGGUUCUAUUCCAGAGAGGGAGCCAGAAAAACGGCUACCACCUCCAAGGAAGGCAGCAGGCGCGCAAAUUACCCAAUCCCGACACGGGGAGGUAGUGACAAUAAAUAACAAUAUAGGGCUCUUUUGGGUCUUAUAAUUGGAAUGAAUACAACUUAAAUCCCUUAACGAAGAACAAUUGGAGGGCAAGUCUGGUGCCAGCACCCGCGGUAAUUCCAGCUCCAAUAGCGUAUAUUAAAGUUGUUGCAGUUAAAAAGCUCGUAGUUGAACUUCAUCUCUGGCCGGGCGGUCUGCCUCACGGUAUGUACUGUCUGGCUGGGGCUUACCUUCUGGUGAGCUUGCAUGUCGUUCAUUCGGUGUGCGGGGGAACCAGGACUUUUAC